GAGAUACUCCCUUCGUCCGGAAAUACUUGUCCUAAGAAUGAAUAAAAUAAAUGUAUCUAUAACUAAAAUAAGUCUAGAUACAUGAUUUCUAUGACGAGUAUUUCCGAACGGAGGGAGUAUUAU
Molecule: microRNA precursor, 123 nt
Filed under: Hordeum vulgare
Lineage: Eukaryota; Viridiplantae; Streptophyta; Magnoliopsida; Poales; Poaceae
Description: microRNA MIR1122
Rfam family: MIR1120/MIR1122 microRNA precursor family
Source: RNAcentral